AGCGAUGUGACGCAGUGGAAGCGUGCAGGGCUCAUAACCCUGAAGACCGUAGAUCGAAACUACGCAUCGCUA
Molecule: transfer RNA, 72 nt
Organism: Tortispora caseinolytica NRRL Y-17796
Lineage: Eukaryota; Fungi; Ascomycota; Trigonopsidomycetes; Trigonopsidales; Trigonopsidaceae
Rfam family: tRNA
About the family: Transfer RNA (tRNA) molecules are approximately 80 nucleotides in length. Their secondary structure includes four short double-helical elements and three loops (D, anti-codon, and T loops).
Source: Rfam